GAUGAACGCUGGCGGCGUGCCUAAUACAUGCAAGUCGAGCGAACGGAUGAGAAGCUUGCUUCUCUGAUGUUAGCGGCGGAAGGGUGAGUAACACGUGGAUAACCUACCUAUAAGACUGGGAUAACUUCGGGAAACCGGAGCUAAUACCGGAUAAUAUUUUGAACCGCAUGGUUCAAAAGUGAAAGACGCUCUUGCUGUCACUUAUAGAUGGAUCCGCGCUGCAUUAGCUAGUUGGUAAGGUAACGGCUUACCAAGGCAACGAUGCAUAGCCGACCUGAGAGGGUGAUCAGCCACACUGGAACUGAGACACGGUCCAGACUCCUACGGGAGGCAGCAGUAGGGAAUCUUCCGCAAUGGGCGAAAGCCUGACGGAGCAACGCCGCGUGAGUGAUGAAGGUCUUCGGAUCGUAAAACUCUGUUAUUAGGGAAGAACAUAUGUGUAAGUAACUGUGCACAUCUUGACGGUACCUAAUCAGAAAGCCACGGCUAACUACGUG
Molecule: ribosomal RNA, 497 nt
Filed under: uncultured bacterium
Lineage: Bacteria
Description: partial 16S ribosomal RNA
Rfam family: Bacterial small subunit ribosomal RNA
Source: RNAcentral